GACGAACGCUGGCGGCGCGCUUAACACAUGCAAGUCGUGCGGUGUCGAAGGCAAGUCUUACGACAAGCCUUCGACACAGCGGCGAACGGGUGAGUAACACGUGAGUAGCUGUCCUAAGGAGGGGGAUAACGCCUGGAAACGGGUGCUAACACCCCAUAUGCCUCGCAAGAGGUGAAAGUGUACUUGCUACAGCCUUAGGGUGUGCUCGCGGCCUAUCAGCUAGUUGGUGAGGUAACGGCUCACCAAGGCCAAGACGGGUAGCCGGCCUGAGAGGGUGUACGGCCACACUGGAAUUGAGAUACGGUCCAGACUCCUACGGGAGGCAGCAGUGGGGGAAUCUUGGGCAAUGGGCGAAAGCCUGACCCAGCGACGCCGCGUUGGGGAUGAAGCCCUUCGGGGCGUAAACCCAUGUUGUAGGGGACGAAGAAAGUGACGGUACCCUACGAGAAAGCCCCGGCCAACUACGUG
Molecule: ribosomal RNA, 468 nt
Filed under: uncultured bacterium
Lineage: Bacteria
Description: bacterial SSU rRNA
Rfam family: Bacterial small subunit ribosomal RNA
Source: RNAcentral